This 253-nucleotide ribosomal RNA is filed under the name uncultured bacterium. Its description in RNAcentral is "partial 16S ribosomal RNA". It matches the Rfam family "Bacterial small subunit ribosomal RNA", at positions 524 to 776 of the family's 1533-position model. The record is from RNAcentral.
UACGGAGGUGGCAAGCGUUGCUCGGAAUCACUGGGCGUAAAGGGCGCGUAGGCGGGGAGGUAAGUCGGGUGUGAAAUCCCUCGGCCCAACUGAGGAACUGCGCCCGAGACUGCUUCUCUUGAGUCCCGGAGAGGAAGAUGGAAUUCCCGGUGUAGCGGUGAAAUGUGUAGAGAUCGGGAGGAACACCGGUGGCGAAGGCGGCCCUCUGGACGGUGACUGACGCUGAGACGCGAAAGCGUGGGGAGCAAACAGG